This 935-nucleotide ribosomal RNA is filed under the name Halomonas caseinilytica. RNAcentral describes it as "bacterial SSU rRNA". It matches the Rfam family "Bacterial small subunit ribosomal RNA", at positions 56 to 987 of the family's 1533-position model. The record is from RNAcentral. Lineage: Bacteria; Pseudomonadati; Pseudomonadota; Gammaproteobacteria; Oceanospirillales; Halomonadaceae.
UGCAGUCGAGCGGAACGAUCCUAGCUUGCUAGGAGGCGUCGAGCGGCGGACGGGUGAGUAAUGCAUAGGAAUCUGCCCGAUAGUGGGGGAUAACCUGAGGAAACUCAGGCUAAUACCGCAUACGUCCUACGGGAGAAAGCAGGGGCUCUUCGGACCUUGCGCUAUCGGAUGAGCUUAUGUCGGAUUAGCUGGUUGGUGAGGUAACGGCUCACCAAGGCGACGAUCCGUAGCUGGUCUGAGAGGAUGAUCAGCCACAUCGGGACUGAGACACGGCCCGAACUCCUACGGGAGGCAGCAGUGGGGAAUAUUGGACAAUGGGGGCAACCCUGAUCCAGCCAUGCCGCGUGUGUGAAGAAGGCCCUCGGGUUGUAAAGCACUUUCAGUGAGGAAGAAGGCUUGUCGGUUAAUACCCGGCAAGGGAGACAUCACUCACAGAAGAAGCACCGGCUAACUCCGUGCCAGCAGCCGCGGUAAUACGGAGGGUGCGAGCGUUAAUCGGAAUUACUGGGCGUAAAGCGUGCGUAGGCGGCUUGAUAAGCCGGUUGUGAAAGCCCCGGGCUCAACCUGGGAACGGCAUCCGGAACUGUCAGGCUAGAGUGCAGGAGAGGAAGGUAGAAUUCCCGGUGUAGCGGUGAAAUGCGUAGAGAUCGGGAGGAAUACCAGUGGCGAAGGCGGCCUUCUGGACUGACACUGACGCUGAGGUACGAAAGCGUGGGUAGCAAACAGGAUUAGAUACCCUGGUAGUCCACGCCGUAAACGAUGUCGACUAGCCGUUGGGGUCCUCGAGACCUUUGUGGCGCAGUUAACGCACUAAGUCGACCGCCUGGGGAGUACGGCCGCAAGGUUAAAACUCAAAUGAAUUGACGGGGCCCGCACAAGCGGUGGAGCAUGUGGUUUAAUUCGAUGCAACGCGAGACCUUACCUACCCUUGACAU